GGAUAAGGAAAGUAAAGAAGGGCGCAUGGCGGAUGCCUUGGCUCUCGGAGGCGAUGAAGGACGUGAUAAGCUGCGAUAAGCUUUGGGGAGGUGCAAAUGACCUUUGAUCCAGAGAUUUCCGAAUGGGACAACCCAAUAUCUUGAAGAGGUAUUAUCCAACGUUGUUGGAGGCUAACGCAGGGAACUGAAACAUCUUAGUACCUGCAGGAAAAGAAAAUAAACAAUGAUUCCCCCAGUAGUGGCGAGCGAACGGGGAACAGCCCAAACCAUCCAUGUUACGGCAUGGGUGGGGUUGUAGGACUACGCCGUUGCAUGAAGACAUCAGAGAAGAACUUUCUGGAAAGAAAGACCAUAGAGCAUGACAGUUGCGUAUUCGAAUGUUGUCGAAGCAUAGUAGUAUCCUGAGUAGCGCGGAGCACGAGGAAUUCUGCGUGAAUCUGCCGGGACCAUCCGGUAAGGCUAAAUACUCCCGAGAGACCGAUAGCGAACCAGUACCGUGAGGGAAAGGUGAAAAGCACUUCGAACAGAAGAGUGAAAUAGUUCCUGAAACCGUGCGCCUACAAGCGGUCGGAGCUCGUUAAUGAGUGACGGCGUGCCUUUUGCAUAAUGAACCUACGAGUUGCCUUUGCCGGCAAGGUUAAGUGUGACGACACACGUAUCCGAAGCGAAAGCGAGUCUGAACAGGGCGUAUAGUCGGCAGUGGCAGACGCGAAACCAAGUGAUCUACCCUUGGCCAGGUUGAAGGCUGGGUAACACCAGCUGGAGGACCGCACCAAUAAGCGUUGAAAAGCUUCUGGAUGAGCUGAGGGUAGGGGUGAAAGGCUAAUCAAACUUGGAGAUAGCUCGUACUCCCCGAAAUGCAUUUAGGUGCAGCCUUGCGGGUUACUGAUGUGAGGUAGAGCGACUGAUAAGAUGCGAGGGCUUCACCGCCUAUCAAGUCUUGACAAACUCCGAAUGCGCAUCAGUUCUACCGCAGGAGUGAGGGCAUGGGUGCUAAGGUCCGUGCCCGAGAGGAGAAGAAUCCGGACCACCUGCUAAGGUCCCGAAAUGACAGCUAAGUUAAACUAACGAAGUCUGACUGCUAAGACAGCUAGGAUGUUGGCUUGGAAGCAGCCAUUCAUUUAAAGAGUGCGUAACAGCUCACUAGUCGAGGAGUCGGGCGUGGAUAAUAAUCGGGUAUUAAGUUGUCUACCGAAGCAGUGGGAUCAUUUAUAUGAUCGGUAGGGGAGCAUUCCAGUCGGCGUCGAAGGCGUACCGUGAGGUAUUCUGGAGCGUCUGGAAAAGCAAAUGUAGGUAUAAGUAACGAUAAAGGGGGCGGGAAACCCCCUCGCCGAAAGACUAAGGUUUCCUGAUCAACGCUAAUCGGAUCAGGGUCAGUCGGGUCCUAAGGCUCAGCCGAACGGCGAUGCCGAUGGCAGAAACGGUUAAUAUUCCGUUACUACCUUCAGGAGUGACGUGGAGACGCAGUAGUGACAGUGCCGCCAUCUGACGGAAUAGAUGGUUGAAGGGUGUAGGAGUCGAUCAUGGCAGGCAAAUCCACCAUGAGAUCCGAACCUGACAGUAUGCCGCGUCCUUCGGGACAAGGCAAUAGUGCGCGUAAGCAUGCUGCCGAGAAAAUCCGCUAAACUUAAUCCUGCAGGUACCCGUACCGCAAACGGACACACGUAGUCGGGAUGAAUAUUCUAAGGCGCUUGAGUGAUUCACGGUUAAGGAACUAGGCAAACUGACCCUGUAACUUCGGGAUAAAGGGUCCCUACCCUUUUAUGGGAGGGCGCAGAGAAUCGGUCCAGGCAACUGUUUAACAAAAACACAGGGCUGUGCCAAAUCGAAAGAUCCAGUAUACAGCCUGACACCUGCCCGGUGCUGGAAGGUUAAGAGGAGAUGUCAUCGAUAAGAGAAGCGUUGAAUUGAAGCCCCAGUAAACGGCGGCCGUAACUAUAACGGUCCUAAGGUAGCGAAAUUCCUUGUCGGGUAAGUUCCGACCUGCACGAAUGGUGUAAUGAUCUGGACGCUGUCUCAACCGUGAGCUCAGUGAAAUUGUAGUAUCGGUGAAGAUGCCGAUUACCCGCGAUGGGACGAAAAGACCCCGUGAACCUUUACUAUAGCUUAUCAUUGAAUCUGGGCACGUGAUGUGUAGGAUAGGUCGGAGGCUUUGAAGCAGGUACGCCAGUAUUUGUGGAGCCGCUGUUGAAAUACGACCCUUUAUUUGUUUGGAUUCUAACCCGUGGAACGGGGACAUUGAUUGGUGGGUAGUUUGACUGGGGUGGUCGCCUCCAAAAGCGUAACGGAGGCUUCUAAAGGUGCCCUCCGGCCGAUUGGUAACCGGCCUUAGAGUGUAAUGGCAUAAGGGCGCUUGACUGGGAGACUAACAAGUCGAUCAGGUAGGAAACUAGAGCAUAGUGAUCCGGUGUUUCCGUAUGGAAGGGACAUCGCUCAAAGGAUAAAAGGUACUCCGGGGAUAACAGGCUGAUCCCUCCCAAGAGCUCAUAUCGACGGAGUGGUUUGGCACCUCGAUGUCGGCUCGUCACAUCCUGGGGCUGGAGAAGGUCCCAAGGGUUGGGCUGUUCGCCCAUUAAAGUGGCACGCGAGCUGGGUUCAGAACGUCGUGAGACAGUUCGGUCUCUAUCUAUCGUGGGCGUAUGAAAUUUGCGUGGCUCUGACACUAGUACGAGAGGACCGUGUUGGACAGACCUCUGGUUUGCCGGUUGUGCCGCCAGGUGCAUUGCCGGGUAUCUAAGUCUGGAUCGGAUAAGUGCUGAAAGCAUCUAAGUACGAAGCCGGCCACAAGAUUAGAUUUCUCAGGGUCGUUGUAGACUACGACGUUGAUAGGAUGCAGGUGUAAAGAUGGAGACAUCAAAGCCGAGCAUUACUAAUUGCCCGUUCACUUUCCUUA
RNAcentral lists this ribosomal RNA (2893 nucleotides) under Phocaeicola vulgatus. Its description in RNAcentral is "Bacteroides vulgatus 23S ribosomal RNA". It matches the Rfam family "Bacterial large subunit ribosomal RNA". Lineage: Bacteria; Pseudomonadati; Bacteroidota; Bacteroidia; Bacteroidales; Bacteroidaceae. The record is from RNAcentral.